This 230-nucleotide long non-coding RNA is filed under the name Elaeis guineensis (African oil palm). Its description in RNAcentral is "long non-coding RNA (EGUI_LNC052606)". The record is from RNAcentral. Lineage: Eukaryota; Viridiplantae; Streptophyta; Magnoliopsida; Arecales; Arecaceae.
GUAGUGAAAUAGAAGAUUAAAUUUUUUUUUUAAUCUAUAUUAUGUAUGCAUAAAAUAUAAACCACAAAAAUCUACUUCAGAUGCUGAAAUUGAAUAUAUGCUAAAAUUGAAUAUGUGAUCGAAUCACAUACCUGUUUCAUAAUUUUUUUCUUCAAAUCUGGAUAUAAAAGAGAAGCAGCUUUCUCUUAUCUACACAAGUACUUAGUCUCUAUAGGUAUCCACUCAAGAUC